Paramormyrops kingsleyae is the source of this 2329-nucleotide non-coding RNA. The record is from RefSeq and is a predicted model, not a curated record. NCBI's taxonomy places the organism in Eukaryota, Metazoa, Chordata, Actinopteri, Osteoglossiformes, Mormyridae.
CCUCAGAUGAGCUCCUUUAGGUCCACAGCAGCAUUAUCAGGCUGGCAGCCAUCGACUAACAGAGACGAUCAUAGUUCAGUUACCACAGGCUGGAAGGAGGAGGCACAGCAUAAGGAAAGAGGAGGACAGGGAAGGAGAGCACCUCCCCACCUCUGCGCCUUCGAGCACAGGCCCGUGAACCAGCGGGGUGGAACCGUUCAAUCCACUGGGGAAGCGGAAGCCACCCGGCCGGAGCUUAGCAACAGGAACGGCGAGCCCACCUCCCCCGGGACCCUGGCGGGUGGGGCACGUUCAUUAGCAGCGUCUUGGGCUGGAUUAAAAAUUCAUGCUGUUUACGACAACAAAGGACUCAGAUGGUCACACACACCGAUCCAAGGUGCGAUGGUCCUUCAGACCAGAAACCAGCGCUGUACAACAGAAAUAUCACCAUGCUGAGGAGAGUGAAUGUUUCACGCCAAGGCCAUUGUGAAGAGAACCCUGUGCUCAAGGGGCCUGAAGAAGAGUAUCCGUGACAACAACGGGAAGUGGUGGGGGUCGCCUGAGGUGUCCCUCGUCCGCUUGACCCCAUGUGUGAGGGGGUGAAAGGUCAGGAGCCGGGUGUCAGCAAGGGCAUCCCCUGCUGAUAUGCUCAAGUUUGGUGUUGAAGUCAUGUUGGGGAAUGUGAGAGACGCUCUGGUGAAUGGAGGCAUCUGUCUCCAGCGACGGUCUGCGCCGAUGCUGUUUGGAGGGGUUCUUAGGCAAGACGAGCCCCUGAAGGUUUCUGCUCAAAUUUAAAUCUUAUGACACAGAUCGGCAGGUGUUGCAGCAUGUAGAACGUUUGGCUUGAGGAUGAAAAGUCUCCUAAUGUUGUACCUUUGAACAGAAAAUUGUUUUAGCAGAACCAUUCAGGUCAGAUAACAAUGACAACUCCAGCAUUCGAGUCCCUUGACAGCCGACAUAACAAAAUAAAUAAGUGUGUGAUUGGCAUGAACCAGCCAAUGGGCUGCAAACAAUGGGAAGGUUUUUGGAGGAAAUUAGAUGGAUGUAAGUUGGUGCAGUAGGUCACUGAGUAACACCAGUAUCAUUGCAAAGCAACAAGGUCAUAGAAAAGUCAUUACAUCAAAUAUAGCAUUUCUCUUUGUGCUCUUGCCAUUUGAUUAUCUAGAAUAUAGGAAUGUGCUUUCAUAUUUCACUCUAAAUACAAUUAAGUAUAUUAAUUUGGAGUGGCAGGUGUGACGGCAUCCAACCUCUUUGGGAAGCUCAGGAGAGCUGAGAAUGGCUUAUCAGCUCAAUAGCUGUGGUGUCCAACUCCCCCUAUGUACCUGCUAUUUCUCCAGGGCUCCUGCUUCCCCCCACAAUCACACAUGCCGUUAGGCAAGCUGGAGCCUCUACAUUGGUACAUAGUGUAAGCCUUGCAAUGGACUGACUGGCAUCCCAUCCAGGGUGUCUCCUGGUGGACUUGUGUCCCAUCUAGGGUGUCCCCAGUGUCCCCUAUGUCACGUCCUCUGCUUACUGGGAUAUUCUCCAGGGUCUCUAUGACUCAUAUCCUCUGUUAAUAGCUUCAAAAAAUGAGUGGGACUACAGUAAAGAGUGUAUUGCUUCAUAUUUCUGACUUUGAUAAUGGUGCCGCAGCAUCGACAGCCUUCAUGGUUAUUGAUCUUGGUCCAAAUUAAAUUAACAACUCAGUUCAAAGGUCUCAUAGCCAAAUGUAUGUUUAAUAUGUCCACAAGGGGCAGGCUUUAGUCUCUCCGGGUUUCCAUUAAGCUGGUGCUCUUUUAUGCCCCAGCUCCUGACAGCGUUCUUCAAAGAGUGGAAAGGGGAGCAGGACCGCGGGGAGCCGUCAGCGGCGUGUGCGAGCCGGGCUCAGCUCAUUAGGCAGCAAGGCGGUACCGGUACCAGCCAGGCCAGUCCGGGGCUCCUCAGCAAACGGCCUGUGCCUGUGGCAGCCUGGGCAACCAGACUGAGCGUGCUGUCCCAAAACUGCAAGGUUGCCUGGCGAUUUGACCCGAAACAGCUGGAAACAGCAGGACGUGUCACUGGAGCAUUUUACAGAAUGGUUCUCUGGCUAAACACCCCCCCGCCUCUGCCCCGGACAUCACUUAAGGCGGCACCUUGGGGUGGCAGAGGGGGGGGGGGGCAAACCCAAAGGUUACGCUGGACAUUUUUUCUAGAUGGCAGCCUUGUCAUGGAUUGUGUCCCUGAUGUCUGUACCUUCUGCUCUGGUCUAAUGGUGUCUCUUCAUAGGCAGCUGCGGCUGCUCCCGCUCUGCGCUCGCUGUCACGGCGUCCGGAUCACAUCAGAGGCACUCAGACGACGUGAUAAUCCUCGGAAAGAGACCCUCUCCAGUUUC